Long non-coding RNA from Rattus rattus (black rat), 2095 nucleotides. RefSeq lists it as uncharacterized. The record is from RefSeq and is a predicted model, not a curated record. The transcript is spliced from 3 exons. Lineage: Eukaryota; Metazoa; Chordata; Mammalia; Rodentia; Muridae.
AGAAAGGCCCUGUUCGGUCACUUGCAAUCAGACUAGACCUUGUGGUUGCUACAGUGACUGACCUGACGGGGUAUCGGGUGUGGGGACCUCUGGGAAGAAGACUGAGAGCCUGGAGGUCCAAUAGUGGUUGGCGAGGAAUCAACCAUGACUUGGUUUCAGAGUCCACUGGUUUGGAGCAGAAAGGAAAAUUAUGGCACCAGCUGGGAGCUGCAAAUGCCCUUGGGGGUUCCAGUUGCUGCUGGAGUCCUAGCCCUUCUGGCCCUCUUGGCAUUGGCUUGUUAUUUUCUCAGAGAGGCCUGGAAGUGCAGAUGGAAGCUUUGCCAUGAGGGCUGGACAUGUUCUCCAACUGGAAAGAGCCUACAGCUUGUCUUCGUCCACUGCCCAGAUCAGGGCCGGCUGGGGACCCUCUCUUCAGAGCCCCAUGGCGCUCCACUGCCUUCUCCACUGUCCUUCUGAAGGCCCAGGACAGCUCCUCAGCCUUGGGUCUGGAGUCACCCAUGUUCCAGAGGAGGUGGCUGUGUCUGCCAGGCCCCCUGCACCUGUAACAGCUGUUAGUGUUAGUGGUUGAAUCCAUGUGAUAAUGUGGGGCGAGGGGUGGGUUCUCACCCCACGGGUGUGGGGCAUGAGGGAGAGGUGACGCUAGCAGAAGUGUUUGCCUUCUCUUGUGACGGCACUGAAACUUUCUCUCCCUAAAGUCACCCUCAAGAAGCCAAGGCUCUGGCUACUCCAUCUUGGCCCGUUUUUCUGGGGGUCAGGCCUUGACCCAAGGGGAAGCCAUGAGCUAGAAGCAAAAGCCCAAGGCCCUCCAGAGUGGCCAAUGAAUGGCUCAGCAGGCAGAGGGACCUCCCCUCAGCAGUCUGACCUCCUCUCCCAAAAGCUCUGUCACUGCCCAGACAGUGCUCUUGGUUCUCGGGGUCUCGGGUCUCGUGUCUAAGCUGGCUCCUUCCUGGGACCACUGCAAUCUCACUCUUUGGAGCCCGUGAGCUCUCUUGGUUUGGCCCAGGCACCAGAGAAGUUGGGGCCCACUGAAGCAGAUCAGGGGUCCCUGGCUGGUGAGCAUGAGGCCCCGUGGAACUUCCCGGGUCAGGACACUGCUGCAGGCUACCCCCCUGUGCCCACUAUAACCUGGACCCCCGAGAUCACCUAGCACCACUUGAUUACUUUUUCCUGGGCUUCCCUGGGUCAGGAAGGGUGAAUUUAGUAAUGGCCGUAGGUCAGGGUCUGUCGGGUAGAGUCUGGAAGGGACUCCUGCCCCAGGAGAUGCACGGGGUCACGAGCCAGUUCUCUGGAGUGUAGACGUAACCCUGCAUGCACUAACACUCUUCUGAUUAGGCCACACUAUGUGGAGAUGGUGGAGGGAUUGAUGCAGAUUAAUUAUAGUCUCUAAUUAAUUAAAUCGUCUCUGAGUUAAGUAAGAGAUGGGGCCAGGAGCACUGGGGCACAGCUGUGGGCUCAGCUAAAUGUGGCAGGUUGAGGCAGCAGGAUGACUUGAGGCUAAGACAUCAAGGUCAGCCUAGAUAACAAAGCACAGCGCUGCCUUCACUCUCAGUGGGGUCUGCUUGACUGGCCUGGAACCUGGACGGCGGAUGGCCUGAUUUGGUCAGUGAACUUUCUGGAGUCUAGAUUCUGCCAUAGCUGCACAGGAGAGGAUGAGCUAACAGCCUUGAGUGUGGCUGUGUGACCCCCAGGCAAAGAACGCUGUUCAGCCCUCGCAGAGUCCUGGUUCACCGAAAGCCAUGAGCUAAUGCAUGAGUUUUUGGCAGCUGACCUCAGUAAUUUGUUCCAAAGCAGUCGUGUGCGCUGGACAGGACAGGAGGGUGGGCUUGAGGGCAGUGAGGAGUGAGACAAGUGUGGGCAGGGCUGCAGGAGAGCCUGCUGAGCUUCUAACACCCUCCUUUUGGGGCUGGAGAGGUGGCUCAGCGGUUAAGAGCAUCCAACUACUCUUCCAAAGGUCCUGAGUUCAAUUCCCAGCAACCACAUGGUGGCUCACAAACAUCUGUAAAGAGAUCACACAAUGCCCUCUUCUGGUGUGUCUGAAGACAGCUACAGUGUACUUAUAUAUAAUAAGUGAAUAAAUCUUUAAAAAAAAAAAAAA